UAGGGAAUCUUCGGCAAUGGACGAAAGUCUGACCGAGCAACGCCGCGUGUGUGAAGAAGGUUUUCGGAUUGUAAAACUCUGUUGUUAGAGAAGAACAAGGACGUGAGUAACUGAACGACACCUGACGGUAUCUAACCAGAAAGCCACGGCUAACUACGUGCCAGCAGCCGCGGUAAUACGUAGGUGGCAAGCGUUGUCCGGAUUUAUUGGGCGUAAAGCGAGCGCAGGCGGUUUCUUAAGUGUGAUGUGAAAGCCCCCGGCUCAACCGCGGAGGGUCAUUGGUAACUGAGAGACAUGAAUGCUGAAGAGGGGAUUGGAAUUCCAUGUGUAGCACUGAAAUGCAUAUAUAUAUGGAGAAACACCAGUGGAGAAAGCGGCUCUCUGGUCUGUAACAGACGCUUUGGCUCGAAGGCGUGGGGGGCCAACAGG
Molecule: ribosomal RNA, 429 nt
Filed under: Gemmatimonadota bacterium
Lineage: Bacteria; Pseudomonadati; Gemmatimonadota
Description: Gemmatimonadetes bacterium partial 16S ribosomal RNA
Rfam family: Bacterial small subunit ribosomal RNA
Source: RNAcentral